AUAAUCAAGAUAGAAAUUUCUGCUUUGCGUUAAAUCUCCUUCGACAACAUGCUGGAUGACAUCAUUUAAUAUUGCAGAUGAGUUUUUACCCAUAUCUGAAUUAACCAGAAGUAAUUUCCUUGCAAAGCUAAUUUCAAAUCGUUUGUAGGACCAUAUGGAAAAUUGUAUGUAAGGAUAUUUUCUUUGUACAAUAUGCAAGUUCUGCAUUUUCUCCAUUAAUUUAUUCUGCUCGUUUUACUUCAGAACAAUUACUGAACAUGCAUUAUAUGUACAAUGAAUUUAAUUCUGUAUUCAUAAAACAGGACAAGAAACUAUGUAGUUACUGUAUAAUGAUCCUUGCCUUGCAUAAUGACAUUGAAACAUCCACUUUAAAUAGUUUAAUUCCAAAGGAUGUUCAAUUAACUUAGCCAACAAAACAAGGCACCAUUGUGCUUAUUUACUUGCUUUGCUUAGAUUAAAGCUUCUGUUUGUCUGGUCUAAACAGCCCAAUAUAAUGGGACAAGUCUGAUUUCUGUGUUUAGUCUAGUUUCAGCAGAGCCUGAGCAGCGCUUCCACUGCGCUCCGCCGAGGUCGCUGUUUCCAAGAACAAACCAAAAUUACGCGCCUAGGCGCCAUGUAAUGAUCAUAACCGAGGCCUUGUGCCUUUCAAGUAAUUUCUUUGUCUUGCACAUGGUAGAAUACAUAUGCAUAAAAUGCGUAUCUUAAAUCAUGUUGCAAGGACAUUUUUUUAUUUCAAAUUUUCACCGCGAAUUACAAUAUGAGCCAUGCACAGAAUGGAUCAAGCAAAUAUGUGACUUUUUUUUUUUAGCUAUGCUAAUAUAACUUGGAAUAUUUAUCACUAACAAAAUGGAAAUCUGCAAUGCAUCGAUUACGCCGCCGUACGUAUGAAACUGCCGCAAUCUGCAGCAGGGUACCGCGGACCAUCAUCGGUACUUUGAAAUAAUGCUUCGACAACGCACACAUAUUGAAGGGAAAUCGAAAUGUAUCAUAUUUAAUUUAAACAUGAACUUGAUCCUUCUUAGGAAAAACAAACAAAUCGAAUGUAGAAUGUUAUAUUCAGGAAAUUCCACAUCGUUCGGAAAGCACAGUCCAUCUUUAGAUUAUAAAAUAAGGAAGAAUCUCUUGUGCUCUUUAAAAAAAUACCAUUGCAUUAAUUUCGGAAUGGGCGGGGGUGGAAAGUUAUAGAAUGGCUAUCUACUAUAUCGUUUUGUUGCACGUUUUUAUUCCUGUUACGGAACUUUACCGCUGGCCGUAUCAAACCAAAAGCCUUUAAAUUUUUUCAUGUUUUUUUAAAGUAUCUGCUGUUUCUUUCCAAACCAGCUCAAGAACUCACUGGCGAUGACGAUAACUGCAGUAAUUCAGGCAGUUUCGUGUUGUAGAGUUAGACCUUACCCCAACAACAUGAAACUACCUAAAUCACAGAUCUCACCUUCAUCCUGAAUACUUCCAGAUGUUUGAUCUGCUAGAGUAUUUCGAUUCUUCAAACUCUUCUGAGUUUUGCAGAUUAAAAGAUCUGGUGUGCAUUUUGUUCGAAGAAAACCAAUUUCCUACAUCCGAGCGGUGCGCUGCUUCCUCUGUCUUCGUGGCUGUUCGCUCAACUGAAACCACUCGUCCAAGACAGCAACAACCCAGAUAUACUAGCAAGUCAUAAAACUCAACAAAAGCCGACAAACGUUACAGCACCAUUGCUAUAUGGCCCAGACAAAUUACGACCGUCUAGGUAAUAUUUAAAUAGAUUGCAACGGUAAUUGCCAGUCUUAAACCCACCAUUCCUGUAGUAAACCUUCUCAACAGAUAAAGGUAAGGAAAAAAACACCGAACACAAAAUGAACUUUAAAAAAACAAUGUGCAUAUACCUAUCUCAAAGGACUCCGACGAAAUACGUUUUAUUCAUCUUCCAGGGAACACAAGAUUUUGCUAACGUACACAGUGCAGCGGCAAUAGGAUCAAGCAUUUUCUGAGUUUUCCAGUAAGAAUAUUUCUUUUUUUUUCAAAAUCAAAAAUGAAUUAAUUCUAGUUGAUUUUAUUUUCUUUUUAAAAGGGAAUCAGCGGCACGGAAUAAAAGGUCCCACAUUCUACUUCAUUAUGUUUGCAACAAUGUUUCACAUUUAAAUGUGCAAUGGUGCUUCCGUUCAUGGCAUGUGAUAUAUUUAUGUAACAACACACUUUUACAGUAUAUUCACAUUUAACUUUUAUCGACAUAUCGGUAUAUGGUAGUAACAUUAUCCUGGAACUAUUUUAACAGCAUAAAUGUAUUUAAAUAUUACAAUGUUCGAUUUACUUAGCUGAUAAUUGGUAACUAGCACAAUUAAAUGUUUGUUGACAUGUUCAUCAUCCUUCUUCCCCACCCCACCCCCUCCCAACCC
Molecule: long non-coding RNA, 2366 nt
Organism: Hypanus sabinus (Atlantic stingray)
Lineage: Eukaryota; Metazoa; Chordata; Chondrichthyes; Myliobatiformes; Dasyatidae
Exons: 2
Source: RefSeq, a predicted model, not a curated record